Cyanistes caeruleus (blue tit) is the source of this 1788-nucleotide long non-coding RNA. The record is from Ensembl. NCBI's taxonomy places the organism in Eukaryota, Metazoa, Chordata, Aves, Passeriformes, Paridae.
UCUCCACUUCUCUUUCGCAGAUUGACACAUAGGUUGAAUUCAAAAGUGCAGGAAAAGAGCUUUGCCUGCGAAAGGAACCUGCACACCAGAGGGUUUGCUCUUAACUAUUGUGAGACCUCCGGCUACAACACAGGACAUGGGAGCUUUUCUGAACCCUCGUGUCUUGUGUUGCAGCCAGAGGGGCACAUCUUUUCAACAGAGUCUGCAAUAAGGAGAAGAAGCCAACGUGAAAGAGAUGUAAAGAGAAAGUGAGAGACAGGUACAGGCGUGGGACUUGACUGAACAUCUAAAGAAGCAGACUAAGGAAUGUGAUCCUUGGCAUUAGCCUUUGAAGCUUUCUCCUAGAUCCAGAUUUCUGCCUGGUCUUAAAUGCAGAUUAAAAAUUCUGAAUCAGUGUCAAGACACACAGAACAAAGCUCUGAUCAAGGAGUUAAGAACUGCAGGAACUAAACCUUGGGUCAUCAUAAGACAGUUUUUGAAGACUGCCUUACCAGACAAAUACUCUAUUUUUGUACUCCAUUUUGGAUUACUGUUUCCCAGAGGAGGAAAAAAUAAAAGGAAAUCCAGCGCAGAACAUCUUGAAGGACAAAGUGGGAAGGCAUCGUCUCCUUGGCACACACUGUUUGACUUUGCUGGCAGAAACUAGCUUUGCAACAUACAUGGAGAAGGCCUAUGCUCUUACAGGCUCUGAAAUUUCCAGGGGCUGCAUUUACUGAGAAAAAGAGAUGUGAUAAAGAGCCACCCUUGUCUUCAUUUACGCUCUGCUUAUGCUCUGAAAGUCCCAUGCAGUUCACUGAAAGAGUUUCUCCAUCUGCCUUCAAAACAUGGAACUUAGUGAUUGUCAGAGCUCCAUCUUGGCAGGGUCAUCAUUUUUUCCAGCUGCAGAAGUUGGGAACUCAACAAUUGUUUGCAGACCAGAAUAAAGCAAUGACAUAUUAUGGUAAUGUGAAUUGUAGAUUAUUAAAGGACAUGAUUUAAAACCACUCUGCUGGUUCCAGUGGGAUUUGUUUGUUUGGCCGCUUUUAGCAUUUUCACCAGCUCUCUCCAAGUUUUCCAUUUACGGUCUAAGUGGAGACAGCAGUAAAUUUUACCCACCUGAAUUUGUUCUUAAUGCUGUUUCUUAUUAUUUGCUGACUUCUAUAAAGGUGCCCCAGUAUCAAUCCCACUGACUGUUAAUAGCACCCAGUAUCUCCACCACUACAGAACUCCCAAGUGUAUUUUGCCUUAAUUAGCUGCUUUUUUUCCCCAUCUCUAUUCUGUUGCUCCCACCUAGCCUGUGUAUUAAUUAAUCAGAAUGACUUUUAGGCUAAACUAUGGGCUUUUAGGAGAACAUGUAGCUCUUAACACAGAAUACAUAUUCCAAGCCCUGAAGUGGGAGGGAGUCUCAAAUCAUUUGAGGGUUUGGCAGUCCCACACUGCUUGGCAAAUAUUUCCACUUACACUUCUUUCAGAAGAAUGACUCCAGCUCUGCUCCUGUUUUUUUGGUUUUGGUUUUUUUUUUUUUGCUUUACAAGAUUGUUUACAGGACUUCCUCAGCAUGUACUUCUCAGCUCCAGCUUGCUGGCACACCACCCUGAGCCACAUGGGUUUAUGCAGACCUCUCCUCCUGACCUUUCCAGUGAGCCAGGAGAGGCCUGCAUAAAUCCCUGUGGCACUUUACUGUGAAGUCAACCUCUCAAAAUUCAGGGGGGAGCUUUAGCUCUUCUAUAAAUAAGGAUAAUACUGGAAGGAAGCAGGCUAUAGUUUUUAUACCAGGAAACAUAAUAAAGGGAUCAAGGGGAGAAAACA